Molecule: ribosomal RNA, 497 nt
Filed under: uncultured bacterium
Lineage: Bacteria
Description: partial 16S ribosomal RNA
Rfam family: Bacterial small subunit ribosomal RNA
Source: RNAcentral
GAUGAACGCUGGCGGCGUGCCUAAUACAUGCAAGUCGAGCGAACAGAUGAGGAGCUUGCUCCUCUGACGUUAGCGGCGGACGGGUGAGUAACACGUGGAUAACCUACCUAUAAGACUGGGAUAACUUCGGGAAACCGGAGCUAAUACCGGAUAAUAUAUUGAACCGCAUGGUUCAAUAGUGAAAGACGGUUUUGCUGUCACUUAUAGAUGGAUCCGCGCCGCAUUAGCUAGUUGGUAAGGUAACGGCUUACCAAGGCAACGAUGCGUAGCCGACCUGAGAGGGUGAACGGCCACACUGGGACUGAGACAAGGUCCAGAAUCCUAAGGGAGGCAGCAGUAGGGAAUCUUCCGCAAUGGGCGAAAGCCUGACGGAGCAACGCCGCGUGAGUGAUGAAGGUCUUCGGAUCGUAAAACUCUGUUAUUAGGGAAGAACAAAUGUGUAAGUAACUAUGCACGUCUUGACGGUACCUAAUCAGAAAGCCACGGCUAACUACGUG